This 468-nucleotide ribosomal RNA is filed under the name uncultured bacterium. RNAcentral describes it as "partial 16S ribosomal RNA". It matches the Rfam family "Bacterial small subunit ribosomal RNA", at positions 28 to 507 of the family's 1533-position model. The record is from RNAcentral.
GACGAACGCUGGCGGCGUGCUUAACACAUGCAAGUCGAACGGAAAGGCCUUGCUUUUGUGGGGUGCUCGAGUGGCGAACGGGUGAGUAACACGUGAGCUGCCCGCCCUUGCCUUUGGGAUAACUUCAGGCAACUGGGGCGAAUACCGGAUAGGAGCCCCUCCUGCAUGGUGGGGGUUGGAAAGAUUCGGCGGGUGGGGGUGGACUCGCGGCUUAUCAGCUUGUUGGUGGGGCAGUGGCCUACCAAGGGUUUGACGGGUAGCCGGCCUGUGAGGGUGAGCGGCGACAUUGGGACUGUGAGACGGCCCAGACUCUUACGGGAGGCAGCAGUGGGGAAUAUUGCGCAAUGGGCGGAAGACUGAUGCAGCAACGCCGCGUGCGGGAUAACGGCCUUCGGGUUGUAAACCGCUUUCGCCUGUGACGAAGCGAGAGUGACGGUAAUGGGUAAAGAAGCACCGGCUAACUACGUG